Molecule: ribosomal RNA, 483 nt
Filed under: uncultured bacterium
Lineage: Bacteria
Description: partial 16S ribosomal RNA
Rfam family: Bacterial small subunit ribosomal RNA
Source: RNAcentral
GACGAACGCUGGCGGCGUGCUUAACACAUGCAAGUCGAACGAUGAAGCGGGUGCUUGCACUCGUGGAUUAGUGGCGAACGGGCGAGUAACACGUGAGUAACCUGUCCUUUUCUUUGGGAUAACGGCUGGAAACGGCUGCUAAUACUGGAUAUUCAGGCUGCAUCGCAUGGUGUGGUUUGGAAAGGUUUUUUCUGGGAUUGGGUGGGCUCGCGGCCUAUCAGCUUGUUGGUGGGGUGAUGGCUUACCAAGGCUUUGACGGGUAGCCGGCCUGAGAGGGUGGUCGGUCGCACUGGGACUGAGAUACGGCCCAGACUCCUACGGGAGGCAGCAGUGGGGAAUAUUGCACAAUGGACGAAAGUGUGAUGCAGCGACGCCGCGUGGAGGGUGUAGGCCUUCGGGUUGUGAACUCCUUUUUCUCGCGAAAAAGGCACAGUUUUGGCUGUGUUGAUGGUAGUGGGGGAAGAAGCGCCGGCUAACUACGUG